Molecule: ribosomal RNA, 468 nt
Filed under: uncultured bacterium
Lineage: Bacteria
Description: partial 16S ribosomal RNA
Rfam family: Bacterial small subunit ribosomal RNA
Source: RNAcentral
GACGAACGCUGGCGGCGUGCUUAACACAUGCGAGUCGAACGGAAAGGCCCUGCUUUUGUGGGGUGCUCGAGUGGCGAACGGGUGAGUAACACGUGAGUAACCUGCCCUUGACUUUGGGAUAACUUCAGGAAACUGGGGCUAAUACCGGAUAGGAGCUCCUGCUGCAUGGUGGGGGUUGGAAAGUUUCGGCGGUUGGGGAUGGACUCGCGGCUUAUCAGCUUGGUGGUGGGGUAGUGGCUUACCAAGGCUUUGACGGGUAGCCGGCCUGAGAGGGUGACCGGCCACAUUGGGACUGAGAUACGGCCCAGACUCCUACGGGAGGCAGCAGUGGGGAAUAUUGCACAAUGGGCGGAAGCCUGAUGCAGCAACGCCGCGUGCGGGAUGACGGCCUUCGGGUUGUAAACCGCUUUCGCCUGUGACGAAGCGUGAGUGACGGUAAUGGGUAAAGAAGCACCGGCUAACUACGUG